This 428-nucleotide ribosomal RNA is filed under the name bacterium. Its description in RNAcentral is "partial 16S ribosomal RNA". It matches the Rfam family "Bacterial small subunit ribosomal RNA", at positions 355 to 776 of the family's 1533-position model. The record is from RNAcentral.
UAGGGAAUCUUCGGCAAUGGGGGCAACCCUGACCGAGCAACGCCGCGUGAGUGAAGAAGGUUUUCGGAUCGUAAAGCUCUGUUGUAAGAGAAGAACGUGUGUGAGAGUGGAAAGUUCACACAGUGACGGUAACUUACCAGAAAGGGACGGCUAACUACGUGCAGCAGCCGCGGUAAUACGUAGGUCCCGAGCGUUGUCCGGAUUUAUUGGGCGUAAAGCGAGCGCAGGCGGUUUAAUAAGUCUGAAGUUAAAGGCAGUGGCUUAACCAUUGUUCGCUUUGGAAACUGUUAAACUUGAGUGCAGAAGGGGAGAGUGGAAUUCCAUGUGUAGCGGUGAAAUGCGUAGAUAUAUGGAGGAACACCGGUGGCGAAAGCGGCUCUCUGGUCUGUAACUGACGCUGAGGCUCGAAAGCGGGGGGAGCAAACAGG